This 481-nucleotide ribosomal RNA is filed under the name uncultured bacterium. RNAcentral describes it as "partial 16S ribosomal RNA". It matches the Rfam family "Bacterial small subunit ribosomal RNA", at positions 28 to 507 of the family's 1533-position model. The record is from RNAcentral.
GAUGAACGCUGGCGGCGUGCCUAACACAUGCAAGUCGAGCGAAGCGCUUAAAUUAGCUUUCUUCGGAAUGACGAUUUUUGUGACUGAGCGGCGGACGGGUGAGUAACGCGUGGGUAACCUGCCUCAUACAGGGGGAUAACAGUUAGAAAUGACUGCUAAUACCGCAUAAGACCCCAGCUUCGCAUGAAGCGGUGGUAAAAACUCCGGUGGUAUGAGAUGGACCCGCGUCUGAUUAGCUAGUUGGUAAGGUAACGGCUUACCAAGGCGACGAUCAGUAGCCGACCUGAGAGGGUGACCGGCCACAUUGGGACUGAGACACGGCCCAGACUCCUACGGGAAGCAGCAGUGGGGAAUAUUGCACAAUGGGGGAAACCCUGAUGCAGCGACGCCGCGUGAAGGAUGAAGUAUUUCGGUAUGUAAACUUCUAUCAGCAGGGAAGAAAGUGACGGUCCCUGACUAAGAAGCCCCGGCUAACUACGUG